Molecule: ribosomal RNA, 1343 nt
Filed under: uncultured bacterium
Lineage: Bacteria
Description: 16S ribosomal RNA
Rfam family: Bacterial small subunit ribosomal RNA
Source: RNAcentral
GACGAACGCUGGCGGCGUGCUUAACACAUGCAAGUCGAACGGAAAGGCCCUGCUUUUGUGGGGUGCUCGAGUGGCGAACGGGUGAGUAACACGUGAGUAACCUGCCCUUGACUUUGGGAUAACUUCAGGAAACUGGGGCUAAUACCGGAUAGGAGCUCCUGCUGCAUGGUGGGGGUUGGAAAGUUUCGGCGGUUGGGGAUGGACUCGCGGCUUAUCAGCUUGUUGGUGGGGUAGUGGCUUACCAAGGCUUUGACGGGUAGCCGGCCUGAGAGGGUGACCGGCCACAUUGGGACUGAGAUACGGCCCAGACUCCUACGGGAGGCAGCAGUGGGGAAUAUUGCACAAUGGGCGGAAGCCUGAUGCAGCAACGCCGCGUGCGGGAUGACGGCCUUCGGGUUGUAAACCGCUUUCGCCUGUGACGAAGCGUGAGUGACGGUAAUGGGUAAAGAAGCACCGGCUAACUACGUGCCAGCAGCCGCGGUGAUACGUAGGGUGCGAGCGUUGUCCGGAUUUAUUGGGCGUAAAGGGCUCGUAGGUGGUUGAUCGCGUCGGAAGUGUAAUCUUGGGGCUUAACCCUGAGCGUGCUUUCGAUACGGGUUGACUUGAGGAAGGUAGGGGAGAAUGGAAUUCCUGGUGGAGCGGUGGAAUGCGCAGAUAUCAGGAGGAACACCAGUGGCGAAGGCGGUUCUCUGGGCCUUUCCUGACGCUGAGGAGCGAAAGCGUGGGGAGCGAACAGGCUUAGAUACCCUGGUAGUCCACGCUGUAAACGGUGGGUACUAGGUGUGGGGUCCAUUCCACGGGUUCCGUGCCGUAGCUAACGCUUUAAGUACCCCGCCUGGGGAGUACGGCCGCAAGGCUAAAACUCAAAGGAAUUGACGGGGCCCCGCACAAGCGGCGGAGCAUGCGGAUUAAUUCGAUGCAACGCGUAGAACCUUACCUGGGUUUGACAUGGAUCGGGAGUGCUCAGAGAUGGGUGUGCCUCUUUUGGGGUCGGUUCACAGGUGGUGCAUGCCUGUCGUCAGCUCGUGUCGUGAGAUGUUGGGUUAAGUCCCGCAACGAGCGCAACCCUUGUUCACUGUUGCCAGCACGUUAUGGUGGGGACUCAGUGGAGACCGCCGGGGUCAACUCGGAGGAAGGUGGGGAUGACGUCAGGUCAUCAUGCCCCUUAUGUCCAGGGCUUCACGCAUGCUACAAUGGCUGGUACAGAGAGUGGCGAGCCUGUGAGGGUGAGCGAAUCUCGGAAAGCCGGUCUCAGUUCGGAUUGGGGUCUGCAACUCGACCUCAUGAAGUCGGAGUCGCUAGUAAUCGCAGAUCAGCAACGCUGCGGUGAAUACGUUCCCGGG